AUACGGAAGGUCCGGGCGUUAUCCGGAUUUAUUGGGUUUAAAGGGAGCGCAGGCGGAGAUGCAAGCGUGACGUCAAAUUUCGGGGCUCAACCCCGUCUCGCGUCGCGAACUGCGUCCCUUGGUUGCGGGAAGGGGAGGCGGAACUCGUGGUGUAGCGGUGAAAUGCAUAGAUAUCACGAAGAACUCCGAUCGCGAAGGCAGCCUUCCGGCCCGUCAACGACGCUCAUGCUCGAAGGUGCGGGUAUCAAACAGGAUUAGAUACCCUGGUAGUCCGCACAGUAAACGAUGGACACCCGCGGUUUGGCCUGUAUGGCUGAGCCGCCAAGCGAAAGCGUUAAGUGCCCCACCUGGGGAGUACGCCGGCAACGGUGAAACUCAAAUGAAUUGACGGGG
This 393-nucleotide ribosomal RNA is filed under the name uncultured bacterium. Its description in RNAcentral is "partial 16S ribosomal RNA". It matches the Rfam family "Bacterial small subunit ribosomal RNA", at positions 523 to 918 of the family's 1533-position model. The record is from RNAcentral.